UACGAAGGGGACUAGCGUUGUUCGGAAUUACUGGGCGUAAAGCGCGCGUAGGCGGAUCGCUAAGUCAGGGGUGAAAUCCCAGGGCUCAACCAUGGAACUGCCUUUGAUACUGACGAUCUGGAGAUCGGGAGAGGUUGGUGGAAUUCCGAGUGUAGAGGUGAAAUUCGUAGAUAUUCGGAGGAACACCAGAAGCGAAGGCGGCCAACUGGCCCGAUACUGACGCUGAGGCGCGAAAGCGUGGGGAGCAAACAGG
RNAcentral lists this ribosomal RNA (253 nucleotides) under uncultured bacterium. Its description in RNAcentral is "partial 16S ribosomal RNA". It matches the Rfam family "Bacterial small subunit ribosomal RNA", at positions 524 to 776 of the family's 1533-position model. The record is from RNAcentral.